GACGAACGCUGGCGGCGUGCCUAAUACAUGCAAGUAGAACGCUGAAGCUUGGUGCUUGCACCGAGCGGAUGAGUUGCGAACGGGUGAGUAACGCGUAGGUAACCUGCCUGGUAGCGGGGGAUAACUAUUGGAAACGAUAGCUAAUACCGCAUAAGAGUAGAUGUUGCAUGACAUUUGCUUAAAAGGUGCAAUUGCAUCACUACCAGAUGGACCUGCGUUGUAUUAGCUAGUUGGUGAGGUAACGGCUCACCAAGGCAACGAUACAUAGCCGACCUGAGAGGGUGAUCGGCCACACUGGGACUGAGACACGGCCCAGACUCCUACGGGAGGCAGCAGUAGGGAAUCUUCGGCAAUGGACGGAAGUCUGACCGAGCAACGCCGCGUGAGUGAAGAAGGUUUUCGGAUCGUAAAGCUCUGUUGUAAGAGAAGAACGAGUGUGAGAGUGGAAAGUUCACACUGUGACGGUACCUUACCAGAAAGGGACGGCUAACUACGUGCCAGCAGCCGCGGUAAUACGUAGGUCCCGAGCGUUGUCCGGAUUUAUUGGGCGUAAAGCGAGCGCAGGCGGUUAGAUAAGUCUGAAGUUAAAGGCUGUGGCUUAACCAUAGUACGCUUUGGAAACUGUUUAACUUGAGUGCAAGAGGGGAGAGUGGAAUUCCAUGUGUAGCGGUGAAAUGCGUAGAUAUAUGGAGGAACACCGGUGGCGAAAGCGGCUCUCUGGCUUGUAACUGACGCUGAGGCUCGAAAGCGUGGGGAGCAAACAGG
RNAcentral lists this ribosomal RNA (765 nucleotides) under uncultured Streptococcus sp. RNAcentral describes it as "bacterial SSU rRNA". It matches the Rfam family "Bacterial small subunit ribosomal RNA", at positions 28 to 776 of the family's 1533-position model. Lineage: Bacteria; Bacillati; Bacillota; Bacilli; Lactobacillales; Streptococcaceae. The record is from RNAcentral.